AAAAACAAAAGAAAGUAUUAAUUCUUACUAAUGUAUCAACGACAUGUAAGAUAAAAUUACAUUGUUCAAACAAAAUAACCAAUAUUAUGAUAGCUAAUAAUAUAUAAUAUUCAUAAUAACAAAAGAGUAGAAGCCCUCAAACAAUUCUGCAAAUCUUCCUCGUACUGAAAUCUUUCACAUCAUACUGUUUAACCUGAAAUAACAAAAUAAGUAAUAUGAAAAAUGAAUCUCCUUUUACUCAUUUGUUAUUUCUAUCAUUUAGAUGAUAGUCCUAUCUAAAAUACAAUAACUCUUACAGGCAUAUACAUGCACACCAAUUCUGGACAAAUAGAGAGGCAAAUGAAUAUAUACAUGUACACCAAUUCUGGACAAAUAGCGAGGCAAAGGAAUAUAUACAUGUAAACCAGAUGUUGUGACAUUCGAGAUUCUCAUCAAUCAUUUAUGCAAAAGUUACAAGGUCGAUGAGGCAAUGCAGGUGUUUGAGAAGAUGGGAGGCAAUGAAAGUGAUGGCAUUCUUGUUAAGCCAGACCUUGUUCUCUACAAUACAUUGAUUGAUGGGCUUUGUAAGGUAGGGUGGCAAGAAGAAGGGUUUAAGUUGAUGGAAAAGAUGAGGCUGGAGAGUAGAUAUGAACCUAAUACUGUUACCUAUUGCUUGAUAGAUGGUUUCUGCAAAGCAGGCGAGAUUAAGAGGUCAUAUGAGCUUUUUGACCAGAUGAAAAAGGGCAGGGUAGUGCCAAAUGUGAUUUCUCUGAAUACUUUGCUUGAUGGAAUGUGCAAGCAUGGGAAACCUGAUUGCUACACCUACAACACUUUGAUAUCAUAUUUCAGCCAGAAGGAGCAUUUUGCAACUGCCCAUAGAGUUAUGAAGAUGAUGAUUGAUGAUGGUUAUUUGCCUAAUGUUGUUACAUAUGGAGCACUAAUUCAUGCAUAUUGUUUAGGUGGAAAUGUUGAUGAAGCUAUGAAAAUAUUCCAGACUAGUUACGGACUAUAACAGUAAAGAAUGACAUGAGGAAGAGUUUUUCCAUAUUAGACAAUGUUACUGCAAUUUUUUCUUCAAAUAACUCUAACUCUUCUAUUUAAGCACUUUGCUACAAAGAACCCGAAAAAUGUGCGUAGUUCAACUAAAACAGACUGACUCUUUUAUCUGUUGACCUUCGCAAUGCAAGAAGAAGAAGUUCUUGCAUUAUAACAUGAAAAUCAUGAGUUUUUAGCCCCGAUAUUUUUCGUUUGCGAAUGCAACGUGAGAUAUUAGUCGCAUGGCCAUGUGGAAACUUGGCGUUUUGCAGUACUUCAUAAAAUAACUCUUUUUUUGUUGGAGACAUUGUGAAAAAAGUAGCAGGAAGGUUUGUCCUCCCACUAGCUCGAGUUUGAGGCCAUAUGCUUGGUCUUAUUUUCAUCUCCUUCAAGUCCAAUCGAGCUUCUACGUUAUCUUUUGACUUUUUACCAAGACCCAACAAUGUAUAAAUUAAGUUAUCACACACAUUCUUUUCUAUGUGUAUCACAUCAAGAUUAUGACGCACCAAGUUAUACUCCCAAUAAGGAAGAUUGAAAAAAAAUACUUCUUUUUUUCCAUGUGUUUUUCAUCACCCCGCUUAAAUCUUCACUUGAUUGACCGAGAGUAAACUUUAUAUCUCUAACUUGAUUUAGAACUUGUGAUCCAGAUACUGGAUUAUAAGGUGCAGGUCUUGAUUCUUUAGUCUCAUCAAACGACUUUGCAUCAUUUCGAUAUUUGUGCCCAGGCUUCAAGAAAAAUCGAUGGCCCAUAUAACAAAAUUUUCCCCCAUGUUUGAGUCUUCUAGAUUCAGUGUUUAUGUUAAAAGAAGGGCAUGUAAAUUUACUAUAAGUGCACCAUCCAGAGAGAUUACCAUAUGUUGGAAAAUCAUUUAUAGUCCACAUGAGAGUUGCUCGCAUUUUAAAUGUCUCCUUAGCAAAGGCAUCAUAUGUUUCUACCCCGACAUCCCAUAAUUCAUUUAACUCUUCUAUUAAAGGUUCCAGAAAGACAUCAAUGUUAUUGCCAGGCCCUUUUGGUCCAGGAAUAAGUAAUGACAAAAUAAAAAACUCUUUUUUCAUGCACAUCCAAGGUGGGAGAUUAUAUGACAUUAUAAUUAUUGGCCAUGUACUAUGAACAGUUCGCAUUGUACCAAAUGGAUUAAAUCCAUUAAAAGUUAAUCCUAAACGAAUAUUACGGGGAUUUCUAGUGAAUUCUGGAUAUUUAUUAUCGAAACUUUUCCAAGCUUCAGAAUAUACAGGAUGUCGUAAAACUCCAUCUUUGUUGUGUUCUUCAUGAUGCCACCGCAUAAGCUUAGAAGUUUCUGAAGACAUAAAUAAUCUUUGUAACAUUGGUUUUAAAGGAAAAUACCUUAGGACUUUGGCUGGAAUGUUUCUAUAAAAAAAUUUCCAUCUAGAAGCCCCACAAAUUAAGCAUUUAUUAAAAAGCAUGAUUUUUAAGCCCAACACUUCAAGUAUCUUUUUAGUCUCAUAGAAAGAAGGAGGCAACUUUUCACCCUCAGGCAGUGCAUCUUUUAAUAGUCCAAGCAAAGCAUUAAAAGAUUCAUUUGUCCAUAUGAAUGACCGUUUCAUAUUGUAGAGAUGCAGCAAAAAUGACAGUUUAUUAAACUUCUUGCAUCCAGGAUAUAGUUCUUCAUUUGAAUCCUUCAAGAGUUGUUCAAACUUAUCCACCUCUGGAUGAGAUUGAUUUAUAAAUGGAUUAGUAUUAUUUUCUUCUGAGUUUGGCUCCAUCUCACCCCUUUCACUAAUAUCACUAACCAUAGACUGGGUAAAGCCUCCAGAAGCAUCAUGUAUCAUUCCUAUCAUAUCAUCACCCCUUAUAGUUAAUUGUCUGUAAUUAUUUACAUGAAUACUAUUUGAUUCAUUCAGAGACUCCCCAUGACAAAAUAAAGUAUCAUGUGAUGACAUAACACCAUUAACCACAAGAUGAUCAUAUGCAGUAGCCCGAUUUACUUGAUAGUAUAGCACACAUUGUGAACAAGGACAUGAAAUUGUUUCUCUUUCACGAAAGGCGUAGUUUAGAAAAUUCUCUACUCCAUCCAAAUAUUCUUUACUGACUCUAUCAUAAUACAUCCAUUUCUUACUUCUAGGCUUGUCCACGACUAUUCAAGGAUUUUUUUUUUCUUUCAAUAAUAGCUAAAAAUAAUUUAGUACAAAAGAGAAAAUAACCUAAAUGGUAGUUCUAGAAAAAAUGUAGUUAUAGAUGAGAUAUUAACAUGAUUAUAUAGCUCAAAGAAGUCAUUUCAACAAUAAAAUUAAGGACUGGGAAUAAAUUAAAAACAGUAAGAAAUGCAAAUUAAACUAUUAUUUGGUAUUAGAACACCAGUUUCUAGUUUUUUUUUUGUACUCUUAAUGUGCAUAUUCAGCUGGCUCAGAAACGACUUCACAGAUGCAUAAUCAUUAAGAAGCACCUAAGACGACCGCUUGCAAACUAUAACUAAAAUUCAUUAUAAUGCAAUUUUGCUCAAUGAAUCAACACCAAUUAAACACCUAAUAAGCCGCAUUAUACAAAAUGAAUUCAUAAAAACUAAAUAACACUAUCAAAUUGUGGAAAACCUAACUACCCAAUACUGUUUUUUAAAGAAUCUUUAAUUGCCACAUAAAUUCCAUGGAAUGAAAUUUCAGAUGUUUUUCACCAUUAAAUUUCACUAUUGACACAUCAGAAUGAUAAAAAAGUGUUCAACUUGAUGUUUAAUUUGAUAUUUGAAUUUUUGAGAAGUUAAUAUGUAUAAAAUAAUUGGGAGGGAGAAGUAGCACCAUAGAAUCUAGAGAUAUAACACAAAAUAAAUAUCUCAGUAAGCAAAAAGUGCAAACCAAAUUAAAGUUAUAAUUAUCAAUAGAAAAAGUUUCAUCCUUCACUUCAAGAACGUGAAUCAAUCUGACAAUAUCCUAAAAGAUAGAGAUAGAGAUAGAGAUAGAGAUAGAGGUGUAUAAAGAGAAAUUAAGAGAAAAAUAUAAAAGUAUAGAAAAAUAGAUAGAAAUCAUACCUUUCAAUUGGCGAAAAUUUUGGUUGCUAGAGGCGGAGGUUUUCUUACACCAUGAAAAUUGUAAAAGCUUUUUUAAGAAUGAGACCUAAUUCUUAGAGGCGUAGGUUUUCCUUUUUUUGGGCAAAUCAGAGAAGUGAUAUAAUAUUUAGGCGGGAGAAGAUUUAGAGGGGAAAAAAAAUUAGAGGGAAAAGAAAAGGUAAAAAUAAAAGCUUAGCAGACUAAUUCUCUUGAAUCACCUUAAAAAAUAUAUUUAUUGCUGACAAAUGUUUAUUAGCUGCUAAUGUUUUGCCUUCACUAAACAAUUUAGCAGCAAUUAAGUUAUUGCCUUUAAAUAAUUGCCGCUAAAGACCUUUUUUGUUGUAGUGUGAACCACUUCAUUCCACCACCAGUCUCUUUUGUGCCUGCCAGAGAUGCCCGCCGAGACCCCCUAAUAUCUCUUUCGUAGCUUCCCUUAUACAGUCUGUUGUCGUUGAUCACAUAGUGCUCGCUUCUCCACUACUCCCCCAAGCUCCCAUAACCGACAACCGCCCCUUCAACUCUUGGGCUUUAUCCUUAGUUAAGGCUCUCCACCUGAUUCUCGGUCUUCCUCGAGCAGACAUUUUCCUCCUCUUCAUCGUAAUACCAAUGUCCAUCACCAAGAGCCUAUGUCGCGUCACGAGUAUCUCACCUGGAAUCACCUUGCAAUCCUUGCACAACCCUCUGUCCGCCUCCUAAGGAGGAGAUAGUCAAUUUGAGUUGUCGCCACCGUAUAGUCAAUUUGAGUCUUCGCCACCGUAUUUUGAAAAGUAACCAAAUGCUCCUCCCUCUUCGGGAAGCUAGAGUUUGCAAUCACCAGCCCAAAAAUCUUAGCAAAGUCCAGUAACUAGGUUCAUCCUCCAUUCCUCUCCCCAAAACUGAAGCCUCCAUGCACUUCGUCAUACCCACUUGCGGUCUCCCCAAUAUGACCAUUGUAAUCCCAUCCUAUGAAUAACUUCUCAGCGGGUGGUACCUGAUGCAUAAUCUCAUCUAACCCCUCCCAAAAGCGCCGUUUAACCUCCUCAUCUAGGCCCACAUGAGGCACAUAUGCGCUAACGACGUUUAGGGUGCACUGUCCAACCAUCAACUUAAUAAUCAUCAAUCUAUCAUUCACUCGUCUAACCUCAACCACAGACUCUCUAAGUUCCCUAUCCGCCAAAAUACUCACUCCAUUCUUACCUUUCUGAGUUCCUGAGUUCCAAAUUUUAUACCCGUUUGCAUCCCUCGCACUCGACCCUAUCCACCUUGUCUCCUGGACACACUCUAUAUUGAACCUCCUCUUCCGGAGGAUCUUCUCCAACUCUAUAGACUUACCUGUCAAUGUACCUACGUUCCAUGAUCCAAUCCUUAACCGACAAACACCCUUGUUCCCUUUACCUCCCUUGCCUCCCAACCCACCCCUUAACCCCCGCCCUGCCUCCCGAUUCACCCCCCGCUCCCCCCAAGGACAUGAAUUCAUUCGACCAUUCUAGACCACAGCCACUAUAACUCCAGCUUACUAAGGGGAAUCACUAACACACAUAACAGACCAAACAAGAAGAAGAUGAGUUUCCACUAUAGGCCCACUAAUACUCUGAAUAAACUAAUAAGAACUACGACAACAACAAUUUAACUAACACAAUAGAGGGAAACAGGAAAACGGGAGAUACCAACUCCCGUGAGUAGAACCUAGGAAUUUUCUUGGUAUCCGAUGGUGUUGUCGUCACCUAGCUCUUUCAAGUCCAACUCCUGUCGUUCCUUGCUGACCUCGGGUUCUUCUUCACUGUUUACACGUGCACGCCUCGCUCGCCACCAAAAGUCACCGGUCCUAACCUGAAAUACACAUAAAAUACCAUAGAGCCAAACAAAUAGGGGGCUGUCACUGCUACCACUGGUGAUGCCCAGCCGUUGCAAAUAAACACAAAGAAAAAAGGAAGCGAAUUUGAAGGUGCUAGUUAAUGGACAAACAAAUAUUGCAAAAUUAGUAAAAUUGCUUCGUGUAUGGAUAUACACUUCUUAUUGAAGUUGUUGCACUGAAAAGGAAAAUUGCUUCAUUUAUGAGAGAGAAACCGAAUGCCAAAAUAAAAGCACCAAAGAGAUUAGAUCUGGAAAUGGGUUGAUUAGAUAUUAGAAAUUCAAUGUUCACAAUGAAGCAAAAAUAUUUGUGGGUCUGAUCCUUACCUUCGCCGAUGGAAAGAAAAGAGGGAAUUAAGAAUUUGAGAGCUACGCUAGUAACGAGAUAAAGGAGCAGAAAAUGGAAGGGAAAGGAAAAGUAGAAAAAUAGAGAGGGGGGAGCGGGGAGCGGGGAGCGGGGAGCGGGGAGAGAGAGGAGAAUGGUCCCUCAAAUCCUCAAGUCUAGGUCUCUGAUACCAAGCUAUAGUUUCCCUAAUUUUUAACCUUUAAA
This 6393-nucleotide long non-coding RNA is filed under the name Nicotiana tabacum (common tobacco). Its description in RNAcentral is "long non-coding RNA (NTAB_LNC016675)". Lineage: Eukaryota; Viridiplantae; Streptophyta; Magnoliopsida; Solanales; Solanaceae. The record is from RNAcentral.